Molecule: ribosomal RNA, 497 nt
Filed under: uncultured bacterium
Lineage: Bacteria
Description: partial 16S ribosomal RNA
Rfam family: Bacterial small subunit ribosomal RNA
Source: RNAcentral
UCUUCCCUCUUCCCUCGUGCCUAAUACAUGCAAGUCGAGCGAACAGACGAGGAGCUUGCUCCUCUGACGUUAGCGGCGGACGGGUGAGUAACACGUGGAUAACCUACCUAUAAGACUGGGAUAACUUCGGGAAACCGGAGCUAAUACCGGAUAAUAUAUUGAACCGCAUGGUUCAAUAGUGAAAGACGGUUUUGCUGUCACUUAUAGAUGGAUCCGCGCCGCAUUAGCUAGUUGGUAAGGUAACGGCUUACCAAGGCAACGAUGCGUAGCCGACCUGAGAGGGUGAUCGGCCACACUGGAACUGAGACACGGUCCAGACUCCUACGGGAGGCAGCAGUAGGGAAUCUUCCGCAAUGGGCGAAAGCCUGACGGAGCAACGCCGCGUGAGUGAUGAAGGUCUUCGGAUCGUAAAACUCUGUUAUUAGGGAAGAACAAAUGUGUAAGUAACUAUGCACGUCUUGACGGUACCUAAUCAGAAAGCCACGGCUAACUACGUG